UAAACGACUCUCGGCAACGGACAUCUCGGCUCACGCAUCGAUGAAGAACGUAGCAAAAAGCGAUACUUGGUGUGAAUUGCAGAAUCCCGUGAACCAUCGAGUUUUUGAACGCAAGUUGCGCCCGAAGCCUUUUGGCCGAGGGCACGUCUGCCUGGGCGUCACAC
Molecule: ribosomal RNA, 164 nt
Filed under: Senecio pinnatifolius var. lanceolatus
Lineage: Eukaryota; Viridiplantae; Streptophyta; Magnoliopsida; Asterales; Asteraceae
Description: 5.8S ribosomal RNA
Rfam family: 5.8S ribosomal RNA
About the family: 5.8S ribosomal RNA (5.8S rRNA) is a component of the large subunit of the eukaryotic ribosome. It is transcribed by RNA polymerase I as part of the 45S precursor that also contains 18S and 28S rRNA.
Source: RNAcentral